This 384-nucleotide long non-coding RNA is filed under the name Bos taurus (domestic cattle). RNAcentral describes it as "long non-coding RNA NONBTAT017348". Lineage: Eukaryota; Metazoa; Chordata; Mammalia; Artiodactyla; Bovidae. The record is from RNAcentral.
UUCACACUAAGAGCUAUACAAAAACUUAAAGAAGUAAAAUCAAACUAUGCAAAAAAAAAAAACAAGCAACCUUUGCAAGUCUAGUAUUUUAGAGAUAAUGUCAAAGGUAUAAAGUAUAAAGCACCAUGCAUCUGUACUUAAAAAAAAAAAAACCAAGCCACGCAACAACUCCAGAGGAGUUUAACUUGUAAAAGAUUUGGGCAGAAAGGAAGCAAUCAAGUAAAACACCAACUUCCCAGCUACCCAAAAAACAAAAGAAAUGAAACUUGGAAACUUAGUUAGAAACAAGGUAGGACUUAGUUUGCAUUAUAGAACUGAGGCUAAAGAAUUAUAACAUAAGCAAAAGAAUGAAAAUAAGUAUCAAAAGUGAAUACCAGGUCAAAA